RNAcentral lists this ribosomal RNA (410 nucleotides) under uncultured Flavobacteriia bacterium. RNAcentral's name for it is "bacterial SSU rRNA". It matches the Rfam family "Bacterial small subunit ribosomal RNA", at positions 370 to 779 of the family's 1533-position model. Lineage: Bacteria; Pseudomonadati; Bacteroidota; Flavobacteriia. The record is from RNAcentral.
AAUGGAGGCAACUCUGAUCCAGCCAUGCCGCGUGCAGGAAGACUGCCUAUGGGUUGUAAACUGCUUUUAUAUAGGAAGAACCUACUUACGUGUAAGUAGCUGACGGUACUAUAAGAAUAAGGAUCGGCUAACUCCGUGCCAGCAGCCGCGGUAAUACGGAGGAUCCAAGCGUUAUCCGGAAUCAUUGGGUUUAAAGGGUCCGUAGGUGGAUAAUUAAGUCAGAGGUGAAAGCCGACAGCUCAACUGUAAAAUUGCCUUUGAUACUGGUUAUCUUGAGUUAUUAUGAAGUAGUUAGAAUAUGUAGUGUAGCGGUGAAAUGCAUAGAUAUUACAUAGAAUACCAAUUGCGAAGGCAGAUUACUAAUAAUCAACUGACACUGAUGGACGAAAGCGUGGGUAGCGAACAGGAUU